GUGCUCACUUUGGCAGCACAUACACUAAAAUUGGAACAAUACAGAAAAGGUUAGAAUGGCCCCUGUGCAGGGAUGACACACAAAUUCAUGAAGUGUUCCAUAUUUUU
Molecule: small nuclear RNA, 107 nt
Organism: Acomys russatus (golden spiny mouse)
Lineage: Eukaryota; Metazoa; Chordata; Mammalia; Rodentia; Muridae
Source: RefSeq, a predicted model, not a curated record